UGGCAACCCAAGCCAAUUUGACAAAUAUGAACAACAUUUAUAAAUCCACAAGCUAAAUAAAUUAUACAAUCAGAACUCCAACUAUUCACCACAAGUUCAUAUCAUCAUAAAUUAGACUUAACAUUCUGAAAUUUCAAAUAAGAGAGAUCUUCUAACACUUUUACACAGUAUAUCCAUUUCGAUUCAUCGACAACAUUUCAUUUCAUACAAAAUAUGCUUAUACAACAAUAACAUAACAACCAACAAGACUUGCCCAUAAUUCUGUAUAGCUAUCCACUGCCUCAGCCCAAAUCAAACAUCUCAAAGGGUGACAAGCUGACCUGAAAGAUUUAUAUAACAACGGAGUGAGCUAAAAAUAGCUCAGCAAGUGACAAAGCAUAUUCAGAACAAAAGGAAUGGUUUCAAACAAGUAAGGUAUCAUAAUGCAAGGCAGAAUACAAGAAUUCUCAAGGAUACCAUCUCAUUAGAUACAAAAUCAUAUGUAUCAUGUCAUUCAAAACAUAUUUGAUUCAUAACAAAUGGAGCACAGAGUAAUUGGAGCAUAUCAAUAGCGUACGAGAUGUUCCGGAGCAUAUCAAUGGCAAAUGGUACAUUUCGAAGCAUAUCAAUAACAAAUGAAACAUAUCGAAGCUUAUCAAUGGCAUAUGAAUUGUUCCGGAGAAUAUCAAUGGCGUAUGGAGCAUUUCGAAGCAUAUCAAUAACAAAUGAAAUGUUUCGGAGCUUAUCAAUGGCGUAUGAAAUGUUCCGGAGCAUAUCAAAGGCAUAUGAAACAUUUCGAAGCAUAUCAACAGUGAAUGAAACUUUUUAGAGCAUAUCAAUAACAAAUACCGUACAGAAGCUCAAACGUCGUCUUUGACGUUGCAAUCAUAUCAUUCUUAUCCAAAGCAUGUACCGAAACACAUAACCAAAGCUCUGGAUAUCAUAUCAAACAUAUAGAAGGUGUAGUGGGAUCUCAAACAGAGUGUGAUUCAUCCAUUUCUGAAUGACCACCAGACAUAAGUCUCCCACGUCUGGGAGCUCCAUCCACCCACGUCUAGGUUAAGCCAGAGGGGGCCGGCAAAGCAUCGCAGGCUAUAAACACAUACCCUUUACCAUUUCUGGCAAAGGUCCAGACAAUCCCACAAACACCAGAGUACAAGAGGACAGUUUUAACAAUAAGUAGCACAUAUCGGAAGCACACGCGGAACAAGAAAACGUACAUGUGCCUUUACGAGUCAAUUCGAAGUAAGAAAUAAUCUUUCACAAUGGUAUUCGGAUUUUGAAAGGAAAUGGAAUAGGCACAUAUCGAAAGCAAAUGCGGAACAAUGGGAUACACAUGUGCCUAAAUGAGUCAAUACGAUAUAGCAUAAACGUUACACAACAGUUUUCAAGAAUGCAAAUAACUUUAAGGACAAGAGCAUACAAGAAUUCAAAGCAGUAAUAUAAAGCUUAAUUAAAUAAGAAAGCUAAAGGAUAUCAAUUUCCAAAGGAAUGAAACCAGAAUAUUAGAAAUCGACCAAAGCUCGAUUUCUGACAGAAUACAAGAGGCACAUUGAACAAAAGAUUCAAACUAUCAAUCGUGCUCCAAUUUACUCAGAAAUAUAUCAUUGGAUUAUACUUUCAGAUAAGACAGGCUUCAUAUGAAUUGAACU
This 1631-nucleotide long non-coding RNA is filed under the name Musa acuminata (dwarf banana). Its description in RNAcentral is "long non-coding RNA (MACU_LNC010756)". The record is from RNAcentral. Lineage: Eukaryota; Viridiplantae; Streptophyta; Magnoliopsida; Zingiberales; Musaceae.